RNAcentral lists this long non-coding RNA (273 nucleotides) under Phasianus colchicus (ring-necked pheasant). RNAcentral's name for it is "lncRNA (ENSPCLG00000000702.1)". The record is from RNAcentral. Lineage: Eukaryota; Metazoa; Chordata; Aves; Galliformes; Phasianidae.
AGUACCCUCUAGACUGAGCAGUGAGGCCAUGGUGGAACCCUGCCUCCACUCAAGAGAGACAGCUUGAGGGCCUGUCUAUCACAAGUCACGGUCUGGAUGCUGUCACUCCAGGAUCAGCAAACAUUUUAUGGAUUUGUUUCUUGUUCAUCAUUUAAUGAACUGCAAACAGUUCUGCAAACUGUCAUCAAACAAAAUAACACAUAUGAGAGAGUAAUGAAACAAAUAAAACAGCGCAUGCUAUGAAAUGGACAAAAUAACAAAAAGGUAACCUUG